CGGGGGGACUCGCAAGAGCCUCGCGCGAUUGGAGCGGCCGAUAUCAGAUUAGGUAGUUGGUGAGGUAAAGGCUCACCAAGCCGACGAUCUGUAGCUGGUCUGAGAGGACGACCAGCCACACUGGGACUGAGACACGGCCCAGACUCCUACGGGAGGCAGCAGUGGGGAAUUUUGGACAAUGGGCGCAAGCCUGAUCCAGCAAUGCCGCGUGCAGGAUGAAGGCCUUCGGGUUGUAAACUGCUUUUGUACGGAACGAAACGGUGAGCUCUAAUACAGUUUGCUAAUGACGGUACCGUAAGAAUAAGCACCGGCUAACUACGUG
This 322-nucleotide ribosomal RNA is filed under the name uncultured bacterium. Its description in RNAcentral is "bacterial SSU rRNA". It matches the Rfam family "Bacterial small subunit ribosomal RNA", at positions 189 to 507 of the family's 1533-position model. The record is from RNAcentral.